RNAcentral lists this ribosomal RNA (464 nucleotides) under Vreelandella stevensii. Its description in RNAcentral is "partial 16S ribosomal RNA". It matches the Rfam family "Bacterial small subunit ribosomal RNA", at positions 338 to 795 of the family's 1533-position model. Lineage: Bacteria; Pseudomonadati; Pseudomonadota; Gammaproteobacteria; Oceanospirillales; Halomonadaceae. The record is from RNAcentral.
CCUACGGGCGGCAGCAGUGGGGAAUAUUGGACAAUGGGCGAAAGCCUGAUCCAGCCAUGCCGCGUGUGUGAAGAAGGCCUUCGGGUUGUAAAGCACUUUCAGUGGGGAAGAAAGCCUUGGGGCUAAUACCCUCGAGGAAGGACAUCACCCACAGAAGAAGCACCGGCUAACUCCGUGCCAGCAGCCGCGGUAAUACGGAGGGUGCGAGCGUUAAUCGGAAUUACUGGGCGUAAAGCGCGCGUAGGCGGUCUGAUAAGCCGGUUGUGAAAGCCCCGGGCUCAACCUGGGAACGGCAUCCGGAACUGUCAGGCUAGAGUGCAGGAGAGGAAGGUAGAAUUCCCGGUGUAGCGGUGAAAUGCGUAGAGAUCGGGAGGAAUACCAGUGGCGAAGGCGGCCUUCUGGACUGACACUGACGCUGAGGUGCGAAAGCGUGGGUAGCAAACAGGAUUAGAUACCCCAGAGUC